CUGAGGCCGCCAUCGCGCCGCCAUCAAUCACGGAUAGCAGGAAGGUGGCCGAGGAUCUCCACCACACCCUCCUCAUCCGGUGCCGCUGCUCUGUUCCUCAGUCCGCCCCCAUUUACCUCGCCUGACCUCGCAUGGAUUCCUGCUUGCUUCUCCCCAACUCCACGGCUGAUCCUCCAAACUCCAGGAGAGCGCGACGCGAUCCAAUUGAGGUCCAGGAGGUGGGGGUGCCUACGUGUUGUUCGUGUGUUCCCCCUUGUUUCCAACCCAAGCCUGGCCGCGCCACAGCUAGACGUCAUUGCGCGCCUGCACAGCGUCUUGGUGAGGUGGUCGAAGCAGCAGCAGCCGCCGCAGCUCGAUAAGUGCACACUGCUCUAG
RNAcentral lists this unclassified non-coding RNA (375 nucleotides) under Zea mays. RNAcentral's name for it is "misc RNA Zm00001eb240240". The record is from RNAcentral. Lineage: Eukaryota; Viridiplantae; Streptophyta; Magnoliopsida; Poales; Poaceae.